Long non-coding RNA from Harmonia axyridis, 389 nucleotides. RefSeq lists it as uncharacterized. The record is from RefSeq and is a predicted model, not a curated record. The transcript has 2 exons. Lineage: Eukaryota; Metazoa; Arthropoda; Insecta; Coleoptera; Coccinellidae.
UAUUUGUAUAUUCCUUCAGGAUCUGUGGUUGAGGUCAAUCUUCUUGUUCAACUUGGCUAUUUGUCUGGUUUAUUAUCUGGUAAAUUUGGAGUUUGUUGAACUCUGUUUAAAUUUAGUUUUGGUACUGAAGUUUGAGGUUAAGCCUAAGCCAAGUGUAGGCUGAUAUAAGGAUCCUGUUUUCAGGAUUAGUUUAGGCAUAUAGGUUAUAGGAAGCCCUUCUGGCAUUUGUUGUUGAUUAUAGUUUUUAGGAAGCCCUUUUGGCGUUUGUUAGUGUUAGGUAAAGUUUUGGGAAGCCCUUCUGGCUCUUGGCAACUUUGAGAAUUCUUUUUAUUUUAUUGUUUAUUAUCAACCACUGCAUAAAUUUUAAUUUUAUUAAACGUUUGACUUGA